AUUGAACGCUGGCGGCAUGCUUUACACAUGCAAGUCGAACGGUAACAGGUUAAGCUGACGAGUGGCGAACGGGUGAGUAAUGCAUCGGAACGUGCCCGGUCGUGGGGGAUAACGCAGCGAAAGCUGCGCUAAUACCGCAUACGACCUGAGGAUGAAAGCGGGGGACCGUAAGGCCUCGUGCGAUCGGAGCGGCCGAUGUCAGAUUAGGUAGUUGGUGGGGUAAGGGCUCACCAAGCCAACGAUCUGUUGCUGGUCUGAGAGGACGACCAGCCAGACUGGGAGUGAGACCCGGGCCAGACUCGGUCGGAAGGCCGUAGUGGGGGAUUUUGGACAAUGGGCGAAAGACUGAUCCAGCAAUGCCGCGUGCAGGAAGCAGGCCUUCGGGUUGUAAACUGCUUGUGUACGGAGAGAAAAGGUCUCCUCUAAUUCAGGGGGCUCAUGACUGUACCGUAAGAAUAGGCACCGGCUAACUACCUGCCAGCAGCCGCGGUAA
This 493-nucleotide ribosomal RNA is filed under the name uncultured bacterium. RNAcentral describes it as "partial 16S ribosomal RNA". It matches the Rfam family "Bacterial small subunit ribosomal RNA", at positions 29 to 523 of the family's 1533-position model. The record is from RNAcentral.